AUGUAUCAAUUUUUAAUAAUCCAGAUAAAACUAACAAUAUACAUUUUCCUUCACCUACUGACAUAGAACAAUCUAUUAUAUAUAACUAUUUAAACGAAAUGAAACGAACAUUAAAAUAUAGUACAUAUAAAAAUAUGAAUAUACCAUAUGAUAGUAAUGGUAAUAUUACUAUUAAUAGUAGUACGAAUAAAAAAAAUUUUGAAAAUAAUAGAGGUGUUGUAGGUUAUAACACGAAAACCUGUUCAAAGGAAAAUCAGAUUGAAUUACCUACAUUGGCUCAUAAUACUACCUACAUUUCUAAGAAUAAUAAUAUUGGACUAAUUAAAAAAAAAUCUUUUGAUCAAAAAGAUAUGAAACAGUAUACAAUAAGUGGUAAUGUUGCAACUAUUGGAGGUGUACCAAAUUAUGUUUUACCAGGUUAUGUCUUACCAAAUCAUGUUAUAUCAAAUCAUAAUGCGAAUUGGAGUAAUAAUAAGAGUAAUAGGAGUAGUAAAAGUAGUAGUAGUAGUAGUAGUAGUAGUAGUAGGGGUAGUAGUAGUAAUAGUGUUAUUCCCCUUUUGAAAAAGGAAUUACAAGAGAUGAAUAGAAAUAAUAAAAAUUAUGACCAAAUGCAGUAUUUAAGCCGAACCAAUAAUAUAGUUCAUUCAGUCAUUAACGACUUUAAUUUGGAUUUAUUAAACCCUACUUUGAAUAAUAAUCAUAAUAACAAUAGUAGUAAUAGUAGUAAUAAUAGUAAAAAUGUUAAGUGUGAAAAUAUAGAAAAAAAAUUAUUAAAUUUGUAUAUGAGCACAAAUUUUAUUAAUAAGAAUAUGAUAAACAAUGGAAAUGUUAAUAACAAAGGUGGCAUAAAUACUACUAGUACUUGUAACAAUAUUAAUAGUAGUAGUACUACUACUAAUAAUAGUAGUAAUCAUAGUACUAAUAGUAAAAACUCAGCUGAUAUGAUAAAUAUGCCGAUAAAUGUACAAGGAUUGCAGAAUUUAAUUAUAAAAAAAAAUGUACAAAAAAAUAUUACCUUACAAGUUAUGUCAGAGCAAAAUAUAGAUUACGAUAUAAAAAAAAUUAAUAAUACUUUUGACACCUUUGGUACAGGAAAAGUUCAAGAGUAUAUACUAUUAAGAAGAAAUAAUAAUGGAACUAUACAACAAAACACACUCAACAAUCACCAACUUGGUACAACAAAUGGGGCAACAAAUAAGGCAACAAAUGGAGCAACAAAUGGAGCAACAAAUGGGGCAACAAAUGGGGCAACAAAUGGGGCAACAAAUGGAGCAACAAAUAAUACUACAAAUAAUACUACAAAUAAUACUACAAAUAGUACUACAAGCAGUAUUAUUAACAAUAAAGAAAACAAUGUUAAUAUGAUUCGUUUUAAGGGGAGUAACUGUAUGGAUAGUACCAGUAUAAACGCUACAGACAUGAUUAACGGGAAUAUUAUCAAGGAUACUAUAACUACAGUUGGUAUAAGUAAUGGUGGGGGAAAAAGUAACAUGAAUAUUAACACGUGUAAUAAUAACAAUAUCCAUAAGUGUAUUGGAAUUAUAAAUAAUAGAAAUAUAAGCGUCAGUAAUAUGAACAUGAGCGGCAAUGUAAAAGAUAUAUAUGAAAAUAACCCAAACAAAACAAAUGAUUACAUAACAAAAAACAUAACAAGUAAUAUAAAUAACAUGAACACAACAAAUCAGGAGUAUAA
This is a long non-coding RNA of Piliocolobus tephrosceles (Ugandan red Colobus), 1693 nucleotides long. Lineage: Eukaryota; Metazoa; Chordata; Mammalia; Primates; Cercopithecidae. The record is from Ensembl.